Molecule: ribosomal RNA, 774 nt
Filed under: uncultured Neocallimastigales
Lineage: Eukaryota; Fungi; Neocallimastigomycota; Neocallimastigomycetes; Neocallimastigales
Description: partial large subunit ribosomal RNA
Rfam family: Eukaryotic large subunit ribosomal RNA
Source: RNAcentral
AGAGAGAGACAUGCGCGCAUAUCAAUAAGCGGAGGAAAAGAAACUAACUAGGAUUCCCUCAGUAACGGCGAGUGAAGCGGGAAGAGCUCAAAUUUGAAAUCUUCAAGGUUUACCUUGACGAAUUGUAGUUUAAAGAAGUGUUUUCUGUUAGUGAGAGUGGUAAAAGUUCUUUGGAAUAGGACAUCAUAGAGGGUGAGAAUCCCGUAUUUGACCAUUAUUUUCAGCUGUGUGAUACACUUUCAAAGAGUCGGAUUGUUUGGGAAUGCAGUCCAAAAUGGGUGGUAAAUUUCAUCUAAAGCUAAAUACUGGCGAGAGACCGAUAGCGAACAGGUACCGUGAGGGAAAGAUGAAAAGAACUUUGAAAAGAGAGUUAAACAGUACGUGAAAUUGUCAAAAGGGAAGCGUUUGACACCAGUGUUGUUUUCUCGAAAAUCAAUUAAAAAUGGCCGGAUUUUGUGUUGUAUUGACUUUAUCAGCUUUCUGCACUUUUUUCUUGUCUUUUUUAAUGCACUUUUCGUUUAACAAGUCAACAUCAAUUUCUUUUGUUGUAAAAGAGUCAUUGGAAGGUGGCUUUCACUUCGGUGAAAGUGUUUAUAGCCUUUGAUCUCUGCAACCGGAGAGACUGAGGUCUGCAGCGUAGACUCUUCGGGGUUAGAUACAUUUGUGCUAAGCUAUAGCUUUUUAUAGACAACUUGUUGACUAUAUUUAGUCUUGUGGCUUACUCGCUUAUGCUAUUUUACCUACGCUUAGGAUGUUGACAGCAGUAUAGACUGU